GCGCCCCCGGCUGGACACGGUACGCAACAACCCGGUUCUUGUUCAACGUGUGAACAAGAACGCACUUUGUGGUGCGCUGCGACCACAAAGAACGGAGGAAUCGUCUGAUUCGGCAUGGCACUCAGAAUAUGUUCGCGGUUCAAUGUAUUAAACCAUUGCUCGAUGCGCUUCAUAUCCGAGCGUGCGUGUCUCCUUGGGGGUCUGAGAGUGGAACACGACCGAGAGAAGCUGUGCUUCACCGUCUGCCUCGGAGCCGAGGCGGGUCAAGGGAGUAUACAGUCUGCAGUCCUCCGAUACAAAUUCAUGAAUGAGAAGCAAGUGGAUCUAAUGUCAACCCACGUCCCGGAGUCCUUAAGGGGCAAAGGUAUCGCAGCUCUCCUGUCGAAGGCUGCCUUGGACUUUUUGGCUGAAGAUGACCUGAAGGCGCACAUUUCUUGCUGGUACAUCAAGAAAUAUAUCGAGGACAACCCAAAGAAUGGUUACGAAGAGCGCGUCGUUAAUUAGCUGCAAUUAACUUCAUUAACAUUUCCUGAAGGUUGAACUAUUAUUGCUAAAUAUUUGUUCUAUAUCAGGUCUAAUUAAUUGCAAAAUUAGGAUGAUUUUAAAGAGCAACAUACGGGUGAUUUUUUUUUUUUUCACAUUGUGUGCUCAUUUUGUUUGCCCAAAAACAUAGCAAACAAAUUAUUAAGUGUAAUCUGUAUGCAGCGGGGAUUCGGGGGUCGGUAUGACUCCCAAGUGGUAAAGGUUCAACACUCAGUUUAUUCAGAGAUAAAAAGUAAAUGGACAUGCACUCUGAAUUUCUACCUCAUGAACCACCUCCAGUCUAUAGAGUGGCGAAGUCACGCCCUUUCCGGUAAAGCCCAUGGGACCUAUGAGAUCGAACAAUAUGAAUGGGUUUUUGAAAAGGUAUAUUUAAAUCCACAAACAACCUAUGUGUAAUCCAGGGUAUGACUGGGACCAGGAUAUAAUUAUUUUCUCUCCAUUGAAACCCAUUCAUAUUUUUCGAUCUCAUAGGUCCCAUGCCUCUACCGGAAAGGGUGUGAUUUCGCCACUCAAUGGCCUACUGACUGAAUGGUAAAAGAAGCCACGCCUAUAGGGUCUGAAUGAUCUUAACAGUAAAACUUGAUAUGGUGAUAUUGUCUUAAUCACUGUGUAGAAGCAGAAAGCAGUGAGAACGUACAAUGGGUGCCAACCUGCCAGUUGCGUCAAAACUGUAUUUAUUUAUUUAAUUUGUGAGUAAUUGAAACUUGGCAGCAUUUGUAGGCUAUAUUCAAUUAAACCGCAUGUUUCUCUUUCGCUAUUUAAAUAUUUGUAAUCAAUAAAUUAUUUUUAAUUAACCA
This is a long non-coding RNA of Gadus morhua (Atlantic cod), 1340 nucleotides long. RefSeq lists it as uncharacterized. Lineage: Eukaryota; Metazoa; Chordata; Actinopteri; Gadiformes; Gadidae. The transcript is spliced from 3 exons. The record is from RefSeq and is a predicted model, not a curated record.